UUUGUUGUUCCAUCUUAUACCUAGUGUGGAAAUAGGCGAAAGUGUACGUGGGGAAGACGUCUACAUUGUGCAGAGUGGUUGUGGGGAAAUCAACGACAACCUAAUGGAGCUUCUCAUCAUGAUAAAUGCCUGUAAGAUCGCAUCGGCUAGUCGUGUGACAGCAGUCAUACCAUGUUUCCCCUAUGCACGUCAGGACAAAAAGGACAAGAGUCGAGCCCCAAUCUCUGCUAAACUGGUUGCAAACAUGCUGUCUGUGGCAGGUGCAGAUCAUAUAAUCACCAUGGAUUUACAUGCUUCUCAAAUUCAGGUAUGAAGUAAAACAGAGAUUGAUAUUU
Long non-coding RNA from Alligator sinensis (Chinese alligator), 335 nucleotides. RefSeq lists it as uncharacterized. The record is from RefSeq and is a predicted model, not a curated record. The transcript is spliced from 2 exons. NCBI's taxonomy places the organism in Eukaryota, Metazoa, Chordata, Crocodylia, Alligatoridae.